Molecule: long non-coding RNA, 1030 nt
Organism: Papaver somniferum (opium poppy)
Lineage: Eukaryota; Viridiplantae; Streptophyta; Magnoliopsida; Ranunculales; Papaveraceae
Exons: 5
Source: RefSeq, a predicted model, not a curated record
AUGCUGCGGACACCCCCCAAUUCGUAUCAGUUAGUUGCUUCGUUUAUGCAUGUUAUUGUUUUCACAGUGUAUCAGCGAAUCAUAUAUUACCACCCGAUGGCGCACUGGUUAAGACACAGAACAAACAGAAGGCUUACCCGGUUCGAAGCACGGGUUAGUACACGAUGAUAGUCGUGUUACAGAACGUGUUCUUCAGAAUGAUGAAAUCAAUAUGUUCAGUAAUUUUGUCAAGAGGGUUUACCGUCUACCAGAAGAUAUGCCAUCCUCAUCUGCUACAAUGGAAACCACUGUACAAACUCAUGGAGAUACUUGCGAAGUAACGGAAGAGCCUCCAAACCAAGCAGUGAGUACCAACGAACCUACAGAGAGACUUGAUGAUGUAGCAGUUGCCUUUUCGGAUGGUUUGAAACUGGAUCCUGACUAUAGAGAGCUUCAAGAUGCAUUUAGAAGAAACUCAAGGAAUGGGACCAAGAAGUGUAGAACUGGGAGGAAAAAGAUCAACAAGAGAGGGAGAGAGUGCGGCUGAAAGUUCGUUAGAAAGAGUCUGUUUCAUCUUAUCAACCAUUGUUUGUUGAGAUAAUGAGAGACCCAGAGGUAGACAGAAGUAGUUGUGCCUAUCAAAGAGAGAAGAGCGGAGCAGCUGCAAAUUAGUGUGCUAUGUGGUGUGGCAGGAAACAAGAUUUGGCAUACAAACCCAAGAUGUCUUUGAACUCAGUAUUCAACUCAAACCCGUCCAACAGCCUAUUUUUAUAGUAAUUUACUGAUUAGUUAUGGUGCUAAAAAGGAGUAGCAGGAGGGUAAGAUUUCAGAAAUCUCUACUCAUAUCACUAUGAUACUUGUCAAGAUGCACAGGCGUCUGGGUUCCCGUUGCUGAAUGAGAUUGUAAUGCUGAGUGAUAUUGGUGUUUGGAAUUUUGAGGAUGUUAUCGUUCAUUGCACAUUUUGUGCUUGUGCCUCUUGUGUUUGGAACUCUGAGUGUGAUUUAUAUACUUGCUAUGGCGUUUGUGCAGUUAAUAAAUUGUGGAUUUGAA